CUGGGGAAUUCCGGGGCGGAGCCUGUCUGGAGCGGAAGAGCCUGGGCGGCGCACCAGCACCGGGUGGGGGUGCGGGUCUGCGGCCUUCGAGUUCUGGGGCGGCGGCGACAGCGGCGGCGGCGGGCGCGGGCACGGGCACGGGGCGCGGAGCGGGCAGGAGGCGCGCGCCGGACGGCGGAGUGCGGCGUGAGGCCGGGCCCGCGCGGCCAUGAACCUAGAGCGGCUGCGGAAGCGCGUCCGGCAGUACCUCGACCAGCAACAGUAUCAAAGUGCUCUAUUUUGGGCAGAUAAAGUAGCUUCACUCUCUCAUGAGGAACCCCAGGACAUCUAUUGGUUGGCUCAAUGUCUUUACCUGACAGCACAAUAUCACAGAGCCGCCCAUGCACUCCGGUCACGAAAACUGGACAAAUUGUAUGAAGCAUGUCGUUACCUUGCAGCUAGGUGCCAUUAUGCUGCAAAAGAGCACCAGCAGGCCCUUGAUAUUCUUGAUAUGGAAGAGCCAAUCAACAAAAGAUUAUUUGAAAAAUACUUGAAGGAUGAAAGUGGCUUCAAAGAUCCCUCCAGUGACUGGGAAAUGUCACAGUCUUCAAUAAAGAGUUCUAUUUGUCUUCUACGCGGGAAAAUCUAUGAUGCUCUAGAUAACCGAACUCUGGCUACCUACAGCUACAAAGAAGCUUUGAAGCUCGAUGUCUACUGUUUUGAAGCAUUUGAUCUUUUGACAUCACACCACAUGUUGACAGCACAAGAAGAAAAAGAACUUCUUGAAUCACUACCUCUUAGCAAGCUGUGUAAUGAAGAACAGGAAUUGCUGCGUUUUCUAUUUGAGAACAAAUUGAAAAAAUAUAAUAAGCCUAGUGAAACGGUCAUCCCUGAGUCUGUAGAUGGCUUGCAAGAGAAUCUGGAUGUAGUAGUGUCUUUAGCUGAGCGACAUUAUUAUAACUGUGAUUUUAAAAUGUGCUACAAACUUACUUCUGUAGUAAUGGAGAAAGAUCCUUUCCAUGCAAGUUGUUUACCUGUACAUAUAGGGACGCUUGUAGAGCUGAAUAAAGCCAAUGAACUUUUCUAUCUUUCACAUAAACUGGUGGAUUUAUAUCCUAGUAAUCCUGUGUCUUGGUUUGCAGUGGGAUGUUACUAUCUCAUGGUCGGUCAUAAAAAUGAACAUGCCAGAAGAUAUCUCAGCAAAGCCACAACACUUGAGAAAACCUACGGACCUGCAUGGAUAGCCUAUGGACAUUCGUUUGCGGUGGAGAGUGAGCAUGACCAAGCGAUGGCUGCUUACUUCACAGCAGCACAGCUGAUGAAAGGGUGUCAUUUGCCUAUGCUGUAUAUUGGAUUAGAAUAUGGUUUGACCAAUAACUCAAAACUAGCUGAAAGGUUCUUCAGCCAAGCUCUGAGCAUUGCACCGGAAGACCCUUUUGUUAUGCAUGAGGUCGGCGUGGUUGCAUUUCAGAAUGGAGAAUGGAAAACAGCCGAAAAAUGGUUUCUUGAUGCUUUGGAAAAAAUUAAAGCAAUUGGGAACGAGGUAACAGUUGACAAAUGGGAACCUUUGUUGAACAACUUGGGGCAUGUCUGCAGAAAACUUAAAAAGUACGCCGAGGCCUUGGAUUACCACCGCCAGGCACUGGUGUUGAUUCCUCAGAACGCAUCCACCUACUCCGCUAUCGGAUAUAUCCACAGUCUGAUGGGCAACUUUGAAAAUGCUGUGGACUACUUCCACACAGCCCUUGGUCUUAGGCGAGAUGAUACAUUUUCUGUUACAAUGCUUGGUCAUUGCAUCGAAAUGUACAUUGGUGAUUCUGAAGCUUAUAUCGGAGCAGACAUUAAAGACAAAUUAAAAUGUUAUGACUUUGAUGUGCAUACAAUGAAGACACUAAAAAACAUUAUUUCACCUCCGUGGGAUUUCAGGGAAUUUGAAGUAGAAAAACAGACUGCAGAAGAAACGGGGCUUACGCCAUUGGAAACCUCAAGGAAAACUCCAGAUUCCAGACCUUCCUUGGAAGAAACCUUUGAAAUUGAAAUGAAUGAAAGUGACAUGAUGUUAGAGACGUCUAUGUCAGACCACAGCACGUGACUCCAGUCAGUGGUCCUGGUCCCGCUGUCCCGGUCGGUGUAGGUUAGUAUUCUCUCACAUCCUCUCCAUGGCUUAAGAACGUCCCACUUCCUAACGUGACUCCAAACUGCAUCUCUACAUUUAGGAACAGAGACCCGCCUUAAGAGACUGGAUCGCACACCUUUGCAACAGAUGUGUUCUGAUUCUCUGAACCUACAAAAUAGUUAUACGUAGUGGAAUAAAGAAGAGUCCCAUCCAGGCGCACAUUGCAUUUAGUCAUCCCGUCUCCUUUGCGGUCUCUCGCCUGUGACAGUUCCUCAGACUUCCCUUGUUUCUCAUGACCCUGACAGUUCUGAGGAGUACUGGCCAGGCAGUCUGAAGAAUGUCCCUCCAUUGGAGUUGGUCUGAUGUUUCUGAAGCACCUUUCUCAUCACAUCCUGCUGGGUGGUCGUAACCACCACACCAGCUAUCCCAGGCAGUGCUGACCUUGGCCACCUGGUCACGGUGUCUGCCAGGUUUCUCCACUGUCAAGUUCCUGUGUUUCCCUUUCCAUACUCUGUGGGUUGAGGAGGUUUAAGCUCCAACCCCGGGAGAGAGCAGUAUCUGUGCAUGUUAUUCUUCUUGAAGAUUUGCUUCUUCUCUCCUGUUUAUUCAGUCAUUUAUCAGUAUGGACUCGUGUACCUACAGGCAUGUCUUGGGGACAUUGCAGUUUUGGUUCCAAACUGGCGAAAUAAAGCAAAUACCACAAUAAAACAAGUUUCACAAAUUGUUUGGUUUCCCAGUACAUAUAAAAGUUACGUUUAUACUAUAGUCUAUUAAGUACGUAAUAGCAUUAUGUCCAAAAAACAGUAUACAUAGCUUAAUUUAAAAAUACUUUCAGGAAUUCGAGACC
Piliocolobus tephrosceles (Ugandan red Colobus) is the source of this 2942-nucleotide RNA transcript. It is a transcript of the gene named cell division cycle 16, with no coding region annotated. NCBI's taxonomy places the organism in Eukaryota, Metazoa, Chordata, Mammalia, Primates, Cercopithecidae. The record is from RefSeq and is a predicted model, not a curated record. The transcript is spliced from 19 exons.